UUUCCGUAGGUGAACCUGCGGAAGGAUCAUUAAAAAUGAAGCCGGGAAACCGGUCCUUCUCACCCUUGUUUAUCUCAAUUUGUUGCUUUGGUGGGCCGCGCAGGCACCGGCUUCGGCUGGAUCGUGCCCGCCAGAGGACCACAACUCUGUAUUAUAUGUCGUCUGAGUACUAUAAAAUAGUUAAAACUUUCAACAACGGAUCUCUUGGUUCUG
RNAcentral lists this unclassified non-coding RNA (213 nucleotides) under plant metagenome. Its description in RNAcentral is "partial contains small subunit ribosomal RNA, internal transcribed spacer 1, and 5.8S ribosomal RNA". The record is from RNAcentral.